Molecule: long non-coding RNA, 236 nt
Filed under: Gossypium barbadense (sea-island cotton)
Lineage: Eukaryota; Viridiplantae; Streptophyta; Magnoliopsida; Malvales; Malvaceae
Description: long non-coding RNA (GBAR_LNC009264)
Source: RNAcentral
UUCAUUUUUAAUAGAGAAGUGAUUCAUCUACUUUCUUAAUAAGGUAACAGAACGAACUUCAAGUACUUCGUAGGACGCCGUCGUUUGCUAAGAUGUGCUUCCACAUGAUCUUUCUUUUGCUUGGAUUUCACUACUAUGUCAUCAACGUAAUCCUCCAAUUCUUCAUGCAUCAUAUCAUGAAAAAUAGCAGUCAUAGCACAUUGAUAAGUAGCACCAGCAUUCUUUAAACCAAAAGG